RNAcentral lists this ribosomal RNA (537 nucleotides) under uncultured bacterium. Its description in RNAcentral is "bacterial SSU rRNA". It matches the Rfam family "Bacterial small subunit ribosomal RNA", at positions 102 to 674 of the family's 1533-position model. The record is from RNAcentral.
ACGGGUGAGUAACGCGUGGGAACAUACCCUUUCCUGCGGAAUAGCUCCGGGAAACUGGAAUUAAUACCGCAUACGCCCUACGGGGGAAAGAUUUAUCGGGGAAGGAUUGGCCCGCGUUGGAUUAGCUAGUUGGUGGGGUAAAGGCCUACCAAGGCGACGAUCCAUAGCUGGUCUGAGAGGAUGAUCAGCCACAUUGGGACUGAGACACGGCCCAAACUCCUACGGGAGGCAGCAGUGGGGAAUAUUGGACAAUGGGCGCAAGCCUGAUCCAGCCAUGCCGCGUGAGUGAUGAAGGCCUUAGGGUUGUAAAGCUCUUUCACCGAUGAAGAUAAUGACGGUAGUCGGAGAAGAAGCCCCGGCUAACUUCGUGCCAGCAGCCGCGGUAAUACGAAGGGGGCUAGCGUUGUUCGGAAUUACUGGGCGUAAAGCGCACGUAGGCGGAUAUUUAAGUCAGGGGUGAAAUCCCGCAGCUCAACUGCGGAACUGCCUUUGAUACUGGGUAUCUUGAGUAUGGAAGAGGUAAGUGGAAUUCCGAGU